Molecule: long non-coding RNA, 1738 nt
Filed under: Volvox carteri
Lineage: Eukaryota; Viridiplantae; Chlorophyta; Chlorophyceae; Chlamydomonadales; Volvocaceae
Description: long non-coding RNA (VCAR_LNC004257)
Source: RNAcentral
GGCGGGGUUCUAAUUGCGUGCGCGUAUGGAUGCUUCUUUCCCCGCCGCNCUUUCUAACAACUAGAAAUGUUUUGAUGUGUCGUUGGUCCGGCGUACGACGGCGCCUGAUGCGAUUUAUGCGUCCGGAAGCCCUUUCAGCCUCCAGGCAUGUCCCCACCUGCCUCACAGCCACCGACGCAUCUCACGGCGGGGUUCUAAUUGCGUGCGCGUAUGGAUGCUUCUUUCCCCGCCGCCUUUCUAACAACUAGAAAUGUUUUGAUGUGUCGUUGGUCCGGCGUACGACGGCGCCUGAUGCGAUUUAUGCGUCCGGAAGCCCUUUCAGCCUCCAGGCAUGUCCCCACCUGCCUCACAGCCACCGACGCAUCUCACGGCGGGGUUCUAAUUGCGUGACCGUAUGGAUGCUCCUAUUCCUGCCGCCUUUCUAACAACUAGAAAUGUUAUGAUGCUUCGUUGGUCCGGCGUACGACGGCGCCUGGUGCGAUUUAUGCGUCCGGAAGCCCUUUCAGCCUCCAGGCAUGUCCCCACCUGCCUCACAGCCACCGACGCAUCUCACGGCGGGGUUCUAAUUGCGUGCGCGUAUGGAUGCUCCUAUUCCUGCCGCCUUUCUAACAACUAGAAAUGUUUUGAUGUGUCGUUGGUCCGGCGUACGACGGCGCCUGAUGCGAUUUAUGCGUCCGGAAGCCCUUUCAGCCUCCAGGCAUGUCCCCACCUGCCUCACAGCCACCGACGCAUCUCACGGCGGGGUUCUAAUUGCGUGACCGUAUGGAUGCUCCUAUUCCUGCCGCCUUUCUAACAACUAGAAAUGUUAUGAUGCUUCGUUGGUCCGGCGUACGACGGCGCCUGGUGUGAUUUAUGCGUCCGGAAGCCCUUUCAGCCUCCAGGCAUGUCCCCACCUGCCUCACAGCCACCGACGCAUCUCACGGCGGGGUUCUAAUUGCGUGCGCGUAUGGAUGCUCCUAUUCCUGCCGCCUUUCUAGUAACUAGUUGAUGUUUUGAUGCAUCGUUGGUCCGGCGUACGACGGCGCCUGGUGCGAUUUAUGCGUCCGGAAGCCCUUUCAGCCUCCAGGCAUGUCCCCACCUGCCUCACAGCCGCCGACGCAUCUCACGGCGGGGUUCUAAUUGCGUGCGCGUAUGGAUGCUGCAUAUUCCUGCCGCCUUUCUGGCAUCUAGUUGAUGUUUUGAUGCAUCGUUGGUCCGGCGUACGACGGCGCCUGGUGCGAUUUAUGCGUCCGGAAGCCCUUUCAGCCUCCAGGCAUGUCCCCACCUGCCUCACAGCCGCCGACGCAUCUCACGGCGGGGGUCUAAUUGCGUGCGCGUAUGGAUGCUUCUUUCCCCGCCGCCUUUCUAACAACUAGAAAUGUUAUGAUGUAUCGUUGGUCCGGCGUUGGUCCGGUGUGUUAGCUUAGGCCGCAUUAAGCUUGACGCAACGAGCCUUCAUACGCUUGAAACGCAACAUUUGUUUGCAUGCAAAUUGCGUUGCGAUAUGUGUGCGUUUGGUAAGUGUUAGGCUGCGUUAAGCUUUACGCAAUGAGCCUUUAUACGCAUGAAACGCAGCAUGUAUUAGCAUGCGAAAUGCGUGGCGACAUGUGUGCGUUUGGCGAGUGUUAGGCCGCGUUAAGCUUUACGCAAUGAGCCUUUAUACGCAUGAAACGCAGCAUGUAUUAGCAUGCGAAAUGCGUUGCGAAAUGUGUGCGUAAGGUGAGUGUUAGGCCGCGUUAAGCUUUACACAAUCAGCCUU